Molecule: long non-coding RNA, 2369 nt
Filed under: Medicago truncatula (barrel medic)
Lineage: Eukaryota; Viridiplantae; Streptophyta; Magnoliopsida; Fabales; Fabaceae
Description: long non-coding RNA (MTRU_LNC002061)
Source: RNAcentral
CUGGUUCUGGUUGGGCCAGGGGUGCGAAGGAAGUUGAUAAUGGACCUACAGUUUCAAACAGAGUGAACCUAUCGAAACUAUCCGGGCUAGUUGCAUCUAGGACUUUAUUGUCAGAAGAUCAGGAGCCAAAACCAGUUCCCUCCUUUCCCUACAGAAAAUCAAUUGAAGUAAGAAAAUCCGUCGAGGCGACUAAUGGAUCAGAGUCAAGAAGAAGGCGGGAUAAAAAACGUAUUGUUGAUCAAAGUCAAAUUGUAAAUAGAAGAGUCCCAACUGAAAAAUCAACUCCGGUUAGUUAUUAUAGUUGUUACUAAUUAUUAUUUAUUUCUUGUUUUUGUUUUUUGUUUACCAAUUAUCAAAUUUUUGGUAGCGAAAACCUUCCCUUGCUUCUAUAAGGAUUCGGAUCCUCUCGUGUUACACGAGCAACUCUCAUGUUAUAUUUAAAACCACGAUUGUCUUUAUCUUUGCUGAAUAAUUGAAUAAUGAACAACGAUUUGGGGCUGUAUUUUCAGGAUGGACAUGGAUCUAGUGGAAACAAGAUAUACAUGUCAGGUCCAUUACUGGCUUCAAACAAUAUGGAUCAGAUGCUCAAAGACCAUGAUCGUAAGAUCCAAGAGUUUUCAAGACGAGCAAGAGGUGAUAAAGUCCGUGCACAGAGAAAGUAGUUACAAAUUACUUAAAAUAUUUCUGAUUCGGCAGCUGCAUACGGUAUUUUUAUGAUAACAUUUAUUUAUCUCUCAAAACUUGAGAGAAACAAGUCAAGAGUAGUGGAGAGUGCAUUCACUCUUACUGUAACAUAUAUCAUGUAAAUUGCAGGCUCUAUAACAACAAAUUUAUCUUUUACUAUUCAUGUUUCAACCAUAUACAAAUACAAAAUAAUAUAAACAAUUUACUAUGGUAGCUGUUCGUGAAAUCACGGUGCCAACUUAGUUUUCAACUACUGGUUGUCCCUAAGUUUGGUUUCUACAUCACCAAACACAAUUAUUCUGGUUUUUCAUUUGUUGGUAGAUAGGAAAAAGUUGAACUAGAUAUUUGGGGCGUUGGCAUUUGAUUUGUUUUUAUUUUAGCUGAAGAAAUGCAAUUUCAAACUUGAAAAUGAUAUUGAUCUGUUUAAAAUUAAAAUUAAUUCAAAGCCAUAGGGAUAUUUCAGGAAAGAUGCUGCAGCUUAAUAUAACAAGAGCAGAUUAUUAUUUAUUCACCAUUAGAAUAAGCAGUAUUUUCUAUAAGAAACUUCUUUAUUUAAGCUUGGCGAAAUUAUGUUUGUCGUCCCCUAAGUUCGACAAUUUUCUCAUAUAGGUCCUUUAAUUUUUUUUCUUCUCAAAUUGAUCGUUUAUGUUACAUUCUGAUUGCACUGGCAGCCAUCUCUCCCAUCUUAAUAACGACCAGAGCAACUGAAAGCAUAUGGUCAUUAGGGUCUGUCUCUGCUCACCCCUGCACUAAUCCCCCCCUCCAAAUAAUAAUUUUUUAGAAAAACAUCCAUGAAGUCCAAUAAACGAUCUACUUUUUUUUUUAGUUUACAAAUUACAAUGUCAUUGACCUCCUUCACUUGCAAAGUUGCUCAACUGAUUUGGUUUGAGUUAAGGGAUAAAAAGUUGGAUAUGUCGUGACUUCAAACUCGGACAAAAUAGUAAAUAUCAAAAGAAAACUUGACCAUGCUAUUGAGGUUAGACCCACUUCAUAACAGUAAUUCGGAAAAUUUAAUAUAAAGGACCGAUUCAGGAAAAAGAAAAAUUUGAAGGACUAAUCCAAAAAAGCUCUAAAUUGCAUGCAUAAUUUUGCUUUUAAACUAUUAUUUCACAUAUGAUCUGAAAUUUUGAUGAAAUUAAAAAACAAAAGAUUUGUAGAACUCAUUGUUUAAGCAACAAGGAAGAUAAUUUUAAGGACUUAUUGGUGUCAAUAUGACCUAAUUAUAUAUUUUUGAUCCAGUAACAUUUAUAAAUAUGAAUUCUAUCACAACAAACAACUGGUAUUUUAUUGGCAAUAAUACCUUAGGUAAAAGUUGAGUACACAAGGAUCGUUGAGGCAGAUCUUACCUGAUGCAGUAAAGCAUAAUCAAUUAAUCACGCCAUAAAUUGACUAGAUAUCUGCUAGAGUUGCAUCAUGUUUUCCUUUGUUUGGCUAGCCAUCUACUUAAUUCAGACGGUGCUCAAAUUUAAAGUUAUUAUUCAUGAGGAAAUGUUAAGAAUACUCUUUUCUAACUUUCUCCCUUCAACUCAUUUUUUUUAUGGGAAAUGUUAACAAAUGCUAUUAGGGCAUUGUUUUAACUUUAAAUAGUAAGUUUUUGUUAAAGUUUAUGAAAUCAAUGCAUUGUAAAUUGGAGUUUUUGACUUUUUUAAAGAAUAAUUUCUGUAAAAAAAAAAAAAAAAAAAAAA